GUGAGGAAUAUUGCGCAAUGGAGGCAACUCUGACGCAGCCAUGCCGCGUGCAGGAAGAAGGCGCUACGCGUUGUAAACUGCUUUUAACCGGGAAGAAACCCCAGGACGUGUCCUGGGUUGACGGUACCGGAGGAAUAAGCACCGGCUAACUUCGUGCCAGCAGCCGCGGUAAUACGAAGGGUGCAAGCGUUAUCCGGAUUCAUUGGGUUUAAAGGGUGCGUAGGCGGAGCGUUAAGUCAGUGGUGAAAUCCUGCAGCUUAACUGUAGACUUGCCAUUGAUACUGGCGCUCUUGAGUACGCUUGAAGUGGGCGGAAUGUGCCGUGUAGCGGUGAAAUGCUUAGAUAUGGCACAGAACACCAAUUGCGAAGGCAGCUCACUAAGGCGAUACUGACGCUGAGGCACGAAAGCGUGGGGAUCGAACAGGAUUAGAAACCCCGGUAGUCC
Molecule: ribosomal RNA, 445 nt
Filed under: uncultured bacterium
Lineage: Bacteria
Description: partial 16S ribosomal RNA
Rfam family: Bacterial small subunit ribosomal RNA
Source: RNAcentral